UAGGGAAUCUUCCGCAAUGGACGCAAGUCUGACGGAGCAACGCCGCGUGAGUGAAGAAGGAUUUCGGUUCGUAAAACUCUGUUGUUAGAGAAGAACAGCGCAUAGAGUAACUGCUAUGCGUGUGACGGUAUCUAACCAGAAAGCCACGGCUAACUACGUGCCAGCAGCCGCGGUAAUACGUAGGUGGCAAGCGUUGUCCGGUUUUAUUGGGCGUAAAGCGAGCGCGGGCGGUCAAUUAAGUCUGGUGUGAAAGCCCCCGGCUCAACCGGGGAGGGUCGUUGGCAACUGGUUGACUUAAGUGCAGAAGAAGAGAGUGUAAUUCCAUGUGUAGCAUUGAUAUGCGUAGAUAUAUGAAGGAACACCAGUGGCGAGGGCGACUCUCUGGUCGGUAACUGACACUGAGGCUCGAAAGCGUGGGUAGCAAACAGG
RNAcentral lists this ribosomal RNA (429 nucleotides) under Bacteroidota bacterium. RNAcentral's name for it is "Bacteroidetes bacterium partial 16S ribosomal RNA". It matches the Rfam family "Bacterial small subunit ribosomal RNA", at positions 355 to 776 of the family's 1533-position model. Lineage: Bacteria; Pseudomonadati; Bacteroidota. The record is from RNAcentral.